RNAcentral lists this small RNA (606 nucleotides) under Pongo abelii (Sumatran orangutan). RNAcentral describes it as "retained intron". Lineage: Eukaryota; Metazoa; Chordata; Mammalia; Primates; Hominidae. The record is from RNAcentral.
CUUCGUCUCAAAAAAAAAAAAAAGAUUUAUUACUUGUUUCUUUGUUUUUGUUUCUUUCCCUUCUUUUCACAGGUGUUGAGAUUUAUUACUUGUCUUAAUGUUGCUGUACUGUAAGUAGGGGACCUUAUUCUGCAUUGAUACAACAAUGACAUUUUUUUCUUCCCCUUCUCCUGUGAAACACAGGUUUCCAAGGUGCUAUUGGGAGCUCAUGCACUCUUGGCCAACGGGUCUGUGAUGUCACGGGUAGGGACAGCACAGUUAGCCCUGGUGGCUCGAGCCCAUAACGUACCAGUGCUGGUUUGCUGUGAAACAUACAAGUUCUGUGAGCGUGUGCAGACUGAUGCCUUUGUCUCUAAUGAGCUAGAUGACCCUGAUGAUCUGCAGUGUAAGCGGGGAGAACAUGUCGCGCUGGCUAACUGGCAGAACCACGCAUCCCUACGGUUGUUGAAUCUAGUCUAUGAUGUGACUCCCCCAGAGCUUGUGGAUCUGGUGAUCACGGAGCUGGGGAUGAUCCCUUGCAGUUCUGUACCUGUUGUUCUACGAGUCAAGAGCAGUGACCAGUGAAGGGGGAAACACAGGGUUAAUAAAUGCCAUACUCCCUACCCU